GACGAACGCUGGCGACGCGCUUAACACAUGCAAGUCGAACGGAAAGGCCUGCUUUCCCUUGUGGAUUGCGGGUACUCGAGUGGCGAACGGGUGAGUAACACGUGAGUGAUCUGCCCCCAACUUGGGUAUAAGCCUGGGAAACUGGGUCUAAUUCCCGAUAGGACUGCAGGGUGGUGCCUGUGGUGGAAAACGAUUUUCUAGUGGUUGGGGAUGAGCUCGCGGCCUAUCAGCUUGUUGGUGGGGUAAUGGCCUACCAAGGCGGCGACGGGUAGCCGGCCUGAGAGGGUGGACGGCCACAUUGGGACUGAGAUACGGCCCAGACUCCUACGGGAGGCAGCAGUGGGGAAUAUGGCACAAUGGGCGGAAGCCUGAUGCAGCGACGCCGCGUGGGGGAUGACGGCCUUCGGGUUGUAAACUCCUUUCGACCGCGAGGAAGCCACCUGGUUGGAAGGGUGGUGACGGUAGUGGUAGAAGAAGCACCGGCUAACUACGUG
Molecule: ribosomal RNA, 494 nt
Filed under: uncultured bacterium
Lineage: Bacteria
Description: partial 16S ribosomal RNA
Rfam family: Bacterial small subunit ribosomal RNA
Source: RNAcentral